AGUGAACGCUGGCGGUAGGCCUAACACAUGCAAGUCGAACGGCAGCACAGUAAGAGCUUGCUCUUACGGGUGGCGAGUGGCGGACGGGUGAGGAAUACAUCGGAAUCUACUUUUUCGUGGGGGAUAACGUAGGGAAACUUACGCUAAUACCGCAUACGACCUACGGGUGAAAGCAGGGGAUCUUCGGACCUUGCGCGAUUGAAUGAGCCGAUGUCGGAUUAGCUAGUUGGCGGGGUAAAGGCCCACCAAGGCGACGAUCCGUAGCUGGUCUGAGAGGAUGAUCAGCCACACUGGAACUUAGACACGGUCCAGACCACUACGGGAGGCAGCAGGGGGGAAUAUUGGACAAUGGGCGCAAGCCGGAUCCAGCCAUACCGCGGGGGUGAAGAAGGCCUUCUGGUUGUAAAGCCCUUUUGUUGGGAAAGAAAAGCAGCAGGUUAAUACCCCGCUGUUCUGACGGUAACCAAAGAAUAAGCACCGGCUAACUUCGUG
RNAcentral lists this ribosomal RNA (492 nucleotides) under uncultured bacterium. RNAcentral describes it as "partial 16S ribosomal RNA". It matches the Rfam family "Bacterial small subunit ribosomal RNA", at positions 29 to 507 of the family's 1533-position model. The record is from RNAcentral.